RNAcentral lists this ribosomal RNA (143 nucleotides) under uncultured eukaryote. Its description in RNAcentral is "partial 18S ribosomal RNA". It matches the Rfam family "Eukaryotic small subunit ribosomal RNA", at positions 1299 to 1458 of the family's 1831-position model. The record is from RNAcentral.
UGGUGGAGUGAUUUGUCUGGUUUAUUCCGUUAACGAACGAGACCUCGACCUGCUAAAUAGUCACGUUAAUCUCCUUGAUUGGCGGCAGUACUUCUUAGAGGGACUUUCGGUCGCUUAGCCGAAGGAAGUUCGAGGCAAUAACA